RNAcentral lists this long non-coding RNA (672 nucleotides) under Ananas comosus (pineapple). RNAcentral's name for it is "long non-coding RNA (ACOM_LNC023799)". The record is from RNAcentral. Lineage: Eukaryota; Viridiplantae; Streptophyta; Magnoliopsida; Poales; Bromeliaceae.
UAUAUAGAGUCCUGCUAUGGUGCUUGUAAAAGCACCAAUCAUUUUGUACUUAUAGAUUUUUAACCGUUAGAUCAGCACUGUUGAUCAUUUACACCCGUUAGAUUAUACUAUUCAACCAACCACCCACUCAACCCUAGGGGGCCCACAUCAUCCUAACCACAUAUUUUUUAAACUAAAGGCUAAAAACUUACAAGCAUCAAUGUCUUGGUACUUUUAAAAAUAUAGGAGCUCAAUUCUAUAUAUAUAUAUAUAUAUAUUCUGAUCACACUCUCUGCUUGUUUCUUUAUUUACUGACCCACUAUUUAUCUCAGUAGAGGAAGAGACAAAAACAGUAGUAAAAGAUUAUUAUAUAGUGGAAAAACUUCAAAUAGUACUGAUGUGAUUUUUUUUUUACUUUAGUAUCGUGUGGUUUAAACUUUAAAAUGUAUCACUUUCAUACUCUGUGAUUUUAUUUUUUUCUUUUUAUUAUUUCAUCAAUCAAUUUUUCUUAUUAAAUCAGUGAUAAAAUUAAAAUUAAAAAGUACUAAAAUACAUAUUCGAUAAACUAUAGGUGGAUAUAUAUUUAAAAAGAGAAAAAUAGAACCACAAAAUACUAAAUUGAUAUACUUUAAAUUAUAGAAUAUUAAAAUGAGAAAGUGUGAGAUCAUAAGGGUCGUAUUUAAAGCUUAUCCU